Molecule: unclassified non-coding RNA, 387 nt
Filed under: Hevea brasiliensis (rubber tree)
Lineage: Eukaryota; Viridiplantae; Streptophyta; Magnoliopsida; Malpighiales; Euphorbiaceae
Source: RNAcentral
GGAGAUUGAAGCUAAGAUUCGAGGGCCAUCAGUGUCAGAGUUAGUGCUGAAGAAGGCGAAGUGUCAGAAGAAUGAGCGGAUGUACUGUAACAACUGCAAAACAUCCAUUUUUGAUUUUCACAGGAACUGUUCUAGCUGUUCCUAUGAUCUAUGCCUUACUUGUUGCCGGGAGCUUAGAGAUGGUCACCUUAAGGGAGGCGAUGAAGAAGUCAUUGUGGAAUUCGUUGACAAGGGGGUUGAUUAUAUGCAUGGUGAUGUGAGGCCUGGUUCUUCAUCAGAUACCCGAACUUCAAGAAGGUCUAAAUCUUCCAAGAAGAUGGUUGAAAAUGAUUCGGUGGAUGAUGCCAGGCUUGCAUUUGAAAUGGAGCCUGGGGAUAAUGGAGGGCA